RNAcentral lists this ribosomal RNA (422 nucleotides) under uncultured bacterium. Its description in RNAcentral is "partial 16S ribosomal RNA". It matches the Rfam family "Bacterial small subunit ribosomal RNA", at positions 360 to 774 of the family's 1533-position model. The record is from RNAcentral.
AAUCUGGGACAAUGGGGGAAACCCUGAUCCAGCCAUCCCGCGUGUAUGAUGAAGGCCUUCUGGUUUUAAGGUACUUUUGGCAGAGAAGAAAAGGUAGCUCCUAAUCCGAGAUACUACUGACGGUAUCUCCAGUUUAAGCACCGGCUAACUACGUGCCAGCAGCCGCGGUAAUACGUAGGGUGCAAGCGUUAAUCGGAAUUACUGGGCGUAAAGCGUGUGUAGGCGGUUCGGAAAGAACGAUGUGAAAUCCCAGGGCUCAACCUUGGAACUGCAUUUUUAACUGCCGAGCUAGAGUAUGUCAGAGGGGGGUAGAAUUCCACGUGUAGCAGUGAAAUGCGUAGAUAUGUGGAGGAAUACCGAUGGCGAAGGCAGCCCCCUGGGAUAAUACUGACGCUCAGACACGAAAGCGUGGGGAGCAAACA